This 428-nucleotide ribosomal RNA is filed under the name uncultured bacterium. Its description in RNAcentral is "bacterial SSU rRNA". It matches the Rfam family "Bacterial small subunit ribosomal RNA", at positions 355 to 775 of the family's 1533-position model. The record is from RNAcentral.
UGGGGAAUAUUGCGCAAUGGGCGAAGGCCUGACGCAGCGACGCCGCGUGAGGGAUGAAGGUUUUCGGAUCGUAAACCUCUGUCAGAAGGGAAGAAACUACGUUGUGCUAGUCAGCAGCGUACUGACGGUACCUUCAAAGGAAGCACCGGCUAACUCCGUGCCAGCAGCCGCGGUAAUACGGAGGGUGCAAGCGUUAAUCGGAAUUACUGGGCGUAAAGCGCACGUAGGCUGUAGUGUAAGUCAGGGGUGAAAUCCCACGGCUCAACCGUGGAACUGCCUUUGAGACUGCACAAAUUGAAUGCGGGAGAGGGUGGCGGAAUUCCAGGUGUAGGAGUGAAAUCCGUAGAUAUCUGGAGGAACAUCAGUGGCGAAGGCGGCCACCUGGACCGGUAUUGACGCUGAGGUGCGAAAGCGUGGGGAGCAAACAG